CGUAGGGGGCGAGCGUUGUCCGGAAUCAUUGGGCGUAAAGCGCGUGUAGGCGGCUCGAUAAGUCCGGUGUGAAACCUUGGGGCUCAACCCCAAGCCUGCACUGGAUACUGCCGAGCUAGAGUCCGGGAGGGGAGAGCGGAAUUCCUAGUGUAGCGGUGAAAUGCGCAGAUAUUAGGAAGAACACCGGUGGCGAAGGCGGCUCUCUGGAACGGUACUGACGCUGAGACGCGAAAGCGUGGGGAGCGGACAGGAUUAGAUACCCUGGUAGUCCACGCCGUAAACGAUGGGCACUAGAUGUGGGCGGUGUCGACUCCGUCCGUGUCGAAGCUGACGCAUUAAAUGAGCCGCCUGGGGAGUACGGCCGCAAGGUUU
Molecule: ribosomal RNA, 372 nt
Filed under: uncultured organism
Description: bacterial SSU rRNA
Rfam family: Bacterial small subunit ribosomal RNA
Source: RNAcentral